GAUGAACGCUGGCGGCGUGCCUAAUACAUGCAAGUCGAGCGAACAGACGAGGCGCUUGCUCCUCUGACGUUAGCGGCGGACGGGUGAGUAACACGUGGAUAACCUACCUAUAAGACUGGGAUAACUUCGGGAAACCGGAGCUAAUACCGGAUAAUAUAUUGAACCGCAUGGUUCAAUAGUGAAAGACGGUUUUGCUGUCACUUAUCGAUGUAUCCGCGCCGCAUUAGCUAGUUGGUAAGGUAAAGGCUUACCAAGGCAACGAUGCGUAGCCGACCUGAGAGGGUGAUCGGCCACACUGGAACUUGAACACGGUCCAGACGCCUACGGGAGGCAGCAGUAGGGAAUCUUCCGCAAUGGGCGAAAGCUUGACGGAGCAACGCCGCGUGAGUGAUGAAGGUCUUCGGAUCGUAAAACUCUGUUAUUAGGGAAGAACAAAUUUGUAAGUAACUAUGCACGUCUUGACGGUACCUAAUCAGAAAGCCACGGCUAACUACGUG
This 497-nucleotide ribosomal RNA is filed under the name uncultured bacterium. RNAcentral describes it as "partial 16S ribosomal RNA". It matches the Rfam family "Bacterial small subunit ribosomal RNA", at positions 28 to 507 of the family's 1533-position model. The record is from RNAcentral.